This 1576-nucleotide long non-coding RNA is filed under the name Anas platyrhynchos platyrhynchos (common mallard). RNAcentral describes it as "lncRNA (ENSAPLG00000016488.1)". The record is from RNAcentral. Lineage: Eukaryota; Metazoa; Chordata; Aves; Anseriformes; Anatidae.
GGAAAAUGUAUUUUUAGAUCAUUACAAAACUACAUCUGCUUCAAAAUAAUAUAUUUACUUCAUUCCAGACCUAAAAUUAAUUGUGAGAAGUUGUUAAAUCACUGAAACUUUUCAAGCUAAUCAGUACAAAGGCUUUGCUUUAUUUGAUGAGGAAAUUUGAGGAGAUUUGAGGAAAAUGAGGAGAUUUGAUGAGGAAAUAUUUGAUGAGGAAAUACUGAAUAUUGUUGAGUUGCUUAAUCUGGUAAAACUAAGGUGGAAAUGGGCUAUGAUGAAUUUUCAUUUAGGAGGUAAACUUCAAAAAGAAAAAGAAUUAGUUAAAGAAUAAUACUGGCAUGGGAACAAGUGGAUGCAAUCUGAUUAUUGACACAUUCAGGCUGGAAAUUUAGAGGAAUCUUUCCAUCCACCCAUCCAAGAAGUGAUAUUCCAGUGAUGGGAGCAGAGAGUCACUGGUUUAGGCUGUGUUUGGGUAUGCUGAUGAAAACGAUUGUGUCGCAGAAUUCUUAGGGACAGAAAAUGGGCUUGUGAUGUGGAUCAGUUGGUAUCUGAUGUUUAGGUGUCAGCAGCUGAGUUUGAAAAGAGACUUGGUUGUUUAUUUGCUCCAUUGUUUUAUCCUAUUAAUCACAUGCUUCAGGACUUUUGUUUGCAGUCUGUGGAGCUUGUUGCACUUCAUGUUUUUCUCUAAGUGCCACUAUCUGAGUGCAAAGUCAGUGGGACAGAGACUGUAUCUUGCUGGGUGACCCUAGAGCAACAGAGACACAGUCAUGACUGGAGGGUGAGUGAUGCCCAACAGCUUUAUUGCAGUUACAGAGUAAUGCAGAGAAGGAGACAUAUUUCUUUGCUGGAACAGUGAACAUUUGGUACAAAUAAUUCAGAACUGGGGUUUUCCUGGCCCCCAUGCUAAGACCAAUAUUUAACUUACCAUCCAUAACAAACUGCCAUUUCACCGGGACUUUAAUGUUGCUAUCGGAACUGUGAAUAUCUAUUUCUGAAACAGAGAGCCUCUUAAAUACCACUGUCAAUACCAAACAAUACUUGCUUGGAUACAGGUUUAGAAACUGCAGUGACAGCUACAGUCGAUCCCACUAGGUGGGAUGUUUCUGUGGGUACAUGGUGACAAAGGGGUUCAGGAUCCUUGCUGUGGCUGGAAAAAGUUGUUCACCCAAGUCAGUUAGUUAUGAACAGGCAUGGGGUCUUUUGGGUUGGGGUGUCACAUUAAAUGCAUUGCUCUUCUGCAUCUUGCUGGGUUCAGAAGCAAGUGAGUCUUGGUACACCACUGAAGCUCUGGAGAGCCACUUGACUUCCCUUUGAGCAGGCCAAGGCUGGGAUCUUUGCUAGAUAAUUGGAACCUAAGUCAUUCCUGAACUCAUCCCUGGUUUGGGGUUACUUUUGUUGGUAAACAUAAGGUUCUGCAACCCAGAAGGGCUGUGAGUAGGGAGAAGGAUUAGGAUCUCUUAAGAAUAGUCAAGAAACCCUGGAAUUUCUUUGUGAUAACUAUUUUGGAUCAUGAAGCACCUCUCUGAAUGCUGUCUUGCAGGGAAGCCAGCUGAGGCUAUAAGAGCAGCAGGGAAAUCCCACA